This 790-nucleotide non-coding RNA is filed under the name Pongo abelii (Sumatran orangutan). Lineage: Eukaryota; Metazoa; Chordata; Mammalia; Primates; Hominidae. The record is from RNAcentral.
ACUUGUCGGCCGUUCUUCGUCCAGAGAUGAACAUGCCGGAAGCGGCCGUUCCCAGCUUUUCUCCGCAGGCCUCUCCAACCGAGCUUCUAUUGUAAAGCACCCUGUGCCGCGCAAAGCGUCAUGGGAACUGUAGUUCCGCCGCGCCCCGCGCCGCGUCCCCGGCUCUGAGUGGAGGAGCUGAAAGGGAGCGUGCGCGAAGUCACGCUUUUGGCUGCGACGCAACCGCCGCUGGGCGUUUUCCACAACAUUUGGGAAGAUUUACAAGGUAUAUACUCCAUUUAGGCAAAAAUAACUCUCAGGGAAUAGUCAUUGUCAAGAGCAGUUUGUAUUGCAACCCACAAGUUAUACCUCUAUGUCGGUCCGGAAAUCCUUCAAUUUACUAAGAGAUUAUGUUUGAAAAGCUUAGAAAAAAUAAACAAUCCUGAAAAACUAAGUAGGCAGAGCCCAUAUCUGUUCUGUUCACCAUCAUAUACCAAGUGCCUUACAGAAUGCCUGGAACAUAGUAGACACUCAACAAAUAUUCAUUGAAUGAAUGAGUGAAUGACACUAGGCUUAGAUACUAGCUUAAAAUAACAGACGAAGAAUCCUAAUUUCAUUAAAAGUAGGACCAGCUUUACAGACCAGUGGGAGAUGCAGGCUACAGGGAGAACACAUGGAAUUCCAGAAUCAUGAACCAUCUGGAAGGGGCUGUGGACACAUAUGAAGUAUGUGUCUAAAGCUUCAGUCUAAAGCUUCAGGAUCAAUUUUGGGAGCCAGAUGUUCUUCAUUUAAGGGCAAAAGACCAGAGAAU